Non-coding RNA from Podarcis lilfordi (Lilford's wall lizard), 69 nucleotides. The record is from the annotation of a GenBank genome assembly. Lineage: Eukaryota; Metazoa; Chordata; Lepidosauria; Squamata; Lacertidae.
GCCAUAGCUCAGGGGUAUGGCAUCUGCUUUGCAUGCAGAAAGUCCCAUGGUCAAUUCCUGGCAUCUCCA